AAUUUGAAAUCUGGCUCCCCCCUGGGGGGCCCGAGUUGUAAUUUGGAGAGGAUGCUUUGGGCGCGGCGCCUUCCGAGUUCCUUGGAACAGGACGCCAGAGAGGGUGAGAGCCCCGUACGGUCGGACGCCUAGCCCGUGCAAAGCUCCUUCGACGAGUCGAGUAGUUUGGGAAUGCUGCUCAAAAUGGGAGGUAAAUUUCUUCUAAAGCUAAAUACCGGCCAGAGACCGAUAGCGCACAAGUAGAGUGAUCGAAAGAUGAAAAGCACUUUGAAAAGAGGGUUAAACAGCACGUGAAAUUGUUGAAAGGGAAGCGCCUGUGGCCAGACGUGCGCCCCGCGGACCACCCGUCGCUCUGCGGCGGGGCACGCCGCGGCGGCGCAGGCCAGCAUCGGCUCUCCCAGGGGGACAAAGGCCGCGGGAACGUAGCUCCUUCGGGAGUGUUAUAGCCCGCGGCGCCAUGCCUCUGGGGGGGCCGAGGACCGCGCCUUCGGGCAAGGAUGCUGGCGUAAUGGCCACCAGCGACCCGUCUUGAAACACGGACCAAGGAGUCAAGCAUUGGGGCGAGUGUUUGGGUGACAAACCCGCACGCGAAAUGAAAGUGAACGCAGGUGGGAGCCUCCGGGCGCACCACCGACCGAUCCUGAAGUUUUCGGAUGGAUUUGAGUAGGAGCCUUGCCGCUUGGACCCGAAAGA
Molecule: ribosomal RNA, 693 nt
Filed under: Raffaelea subalba
Lineage: Eukaryota; Fungi; Ascomycota; Sordariomycetes; Ophiostomatales; Ophiostomataceae
Description: eukaryotic LSU rRNA
Rfam family: Eukaryotic large subunit ribosomal RNA
Source: RNAcentral